UGUGGGAGCUGGCUUGCCUGCGAUGACUGUCUGUCAGCUAACACUUCUGUAACUGAAAGACUGCUAUCGCAGGCAAGCCAGCUCCCACA
Molecule: non-coding RNA, 89 nt
Filed under: Pseudomonas tolaasii NCPPB 2192
Lineage: Bacteria; Pseudomonadati; Pseudomonadota; Gammaproteobacteria; Pseudomonadales; Pseudomonadaceae
Source: RNAcentral